GCCCUUCAGGCCUAACACAUGCAAGUCGAGCGAUCCUUUCGGGGAUAGCGGCGGACGGGUGAGUAACGCGUGGGAAUGUGCCCUUCUCUACGGAAUAGCCUCGGGAAACUGGGAGUAAUACCGUAUACGCCCCUUGGGGGAAAGAUUUAUCGGAGAAGGAUCAGCCCGCGUUGGAUUAGGUAGUUGGUGGGGUAAUGGCCUACCAAGCCUACGAUCCAUAGCUGGUUUGAGAGGAUGAUCAGCCACACUGGGACUGAGACACGGCCCAGACUCCUACGGGAGGCAGCAAGUGGGGAAUCUUAGACAAUGGGGGCAACCCUGAUCUAGCCAUGCCGCGUGAGUGAUGAAGGCCCUUAAGGUUGUAAAGCUCUUUUCAGCUUGGGAAGAUAAUGACCGGUACCAAGCAGAAAGAAGCCCCCGGCUACUCCGUGCCAGCAGCCCGCGGUAAUAAAGGGC
This 456-nucleotide ribosomal RNA is filed under the name uncultured bacterium. RNAcentral describes it as "bacterial SSU rRNA". It matches the Rfam family "Bacterial small subunit ribosomal RNA", at positions 39 to 533 of the family's 1533-position model. The record is from RNAcentral.